Molecule: ribosomal RNA, 462 nt
Filed under: uncultured bacterium
Lineage: Bacteria
Description: partial 16S ribosomal RNA
Rfam family: Bacterial small subunit ribosomal RNA
Source: RNAcentral
GACGAACGCUGGCGGCGCGCCUAACACAUGCAAGUCGAACGGUGAAGAGGAGCUUGCUCCUCGGAACAGUGGCGGACGGGUGAGUAACACGUGAGCAACCUGGCUCUAAGAGGGGGACAACAGUUGGAAACGACUGCUAAUACCGCAUGACGUAUCGGGAUGGCAUCUUCCUGAUACCAAAGAUUUUAUCGCUUAGAGAUGGGCUCGCGUCUGAUUAGAUAGUUGGCGGGGUAACGGCCCACCAAGUCGACGAUCAGUAGCCGGACUGAGAGGUUGAACGGCCACAUUGGGACUGAGACACGGCCCAGACUCCUACGGGAGGCAGCAGUGGGGGAUAUUGGACAAUGGGGGCAACCCUGAUCCAGCGACGCCGCGUGAGGGAAGAAGGUUUUCGGAUUGUAAACCUCUGUUGACGGAGAAAAAAAUGAUGGUAUCCGUUUAGAAAGCCACGGCUAACUACGU